CGCAACCGAGUCUUAAUUGGGCGUUAAGUUGCAGGGUAUAGACCCGAAACCCGGUGAUCUAGCCAUGGGCAGGUUGAAGGUUGGGUAACACUAACUGGAGGACCGAACCGACUAAUGUUGAAAAAUUAGCGGAUGACCUGUGGCUGGGGGUGAAAGGCCAAUCAAACCGGGAGAUAGCUGGUUCUCCCCGAAAGCUAUUUAGGUAGCGCCUCGUGAAUUCAUCUCCGGGGGUAGAGCACUGUUUCGGCUAGGGGGCCAUCCCGGCUUACCAACCCGAUGCAAACUGCGAAUACCGGAGAAUGUUAUCACGGGAGACACACGGCGGGUGCUAACGUCCGUCGUGAAGAGGGAAACAACCCAGACCGCCAGCUAAGGUCCCAAAGUCAUGGUUAAGUGGGAAACGAUGUGGGAAGGCCCAGACAGCCAGGAUGUUGGCUUAGAAGCAGCCAUCAUUUAAAGAAAGCGUAAUAGCUCACUGGUCGAGUCGGCCUGCGCGGAAGAUGUAACGGGGCUAAACCAUGCACCGAAGCUGCGGCAGCGA
Molecule: ribosomal RNA, 541 nt
Filed under: Salmonella enterica subsp. enterica serovar Singapore
Lineage: Bacteria; Pseudomonadati; Pseudomonadota; Gammaproteobacteria; Enterobacterales; Enterobacteriaceae
Description: partial 23S ribosomal RNA
Rfam family: Bacterial large subunit ribosomal RNA
Source: RNAcentral